GACGAACGCUGGCGGCGUGCCUAAUACAUGCAAGUAGAACGCUGAAGCGAGGAGCUUGCUCUUCUUGGCUGAGUUGCGAACGGGUGAGUAACGCGUAGGUAACCUGCCUUGUAGCGGGGGAUAACUAUUGGAAACGAUAGCUAAUACCGCAUAACACUGGAUGACCCAUGUCAUUUAUUUGAAAGGGGCAAAUGCUCCACUACAAGAUGGACCUGCGUUGUAUUAGCUAGUAGGUGAGGUAACGGCUCACCUAGGCGACGAUACAUAGCCGACCUGAGAGGGUGAGCGGCCACACUGGGACUGAGACACGGCCCAGACGCCUACGGGAGGCAGCAGUAGGGAAUCUUCGGCAAUGGGGGCAACCCGGACCGAGCAACGCCGCGUGAGUGCAGAAGGUUUUCGGAUCGUAAAGCUCUGUUGUAAGUCAAGAACGAGUGUGAGAGUGGAAAGUUCACACUGUGACGGUAGCUUACCAGAAAGGGACGGCUAACUACGUG
Molecule: ribosomal RNA, 497 nt
Filed under: uncultured bacterium
Lineage: Bacteria
Description: partial 16S ribosomal RNA
Rfam family: Bacterial small subunit ribosomal RNA
Source: RNAcentral